This 28-nucleotide transfer RNA is filed under the name Trachelium caeruleum. RNAcentral's name for it is "partial tRNA-His". Lineage: Eukaryota; Viridiplantae; Streptophyta; Magnoliopsida; Asterales; Campanulaceae. The record is from RNAcentral.
GGCGGAUGUAGCCAAGUGGACAAGGCAG